This 298-nucleotide long non-coding RNA is filed under the name Panax ginseng (ginseng). RNAcentral's name for it is "long non-coding RNA (PGIN_LNC013488)". The record is from RNAcentral. Lineage: Eukaryota; Viridiplantae; Streptophyta; Magnoliopsida; Apiales; Araliaceae.
UGCAAUUCUUUAAUAAGUUGCUUGAAAAUCUUGCUAAAAUAUGUAGUUGGUGACCUACUAGAUUGACCAUGUGCUGAAAAUCAACACAAAUCAGCCAAAUACAUCAGCCUUGUGAUUCGUAUCAUGUUAUAUGUAUAGAUCAAGAGAGAGAAAGUUCUCAAAAUUUGCUCAUUUGCUAUCUAUCACCCAACCAACACCUCUUUCCAAACCCACGAAAAAUAUAAGUAUAUCAGUCCCCAAUCAAGUCCCUACUACUUCCAUAACAGAUUAAGAAGCCAAAAUUCAAGAUUUGUCUAAG